Long non-coding RNA from Lemur catta (Ring-tailed lemur), 683 nucleotides. RefSeq lists it as uncharacterized. The transcript is spliced from 4 exons. Lineage: Eukaryota; Metazoa; Chordata; Mammalia; Primates; Lemuridae. The record is from RefSeq and is a predicted model, not a curated record.
AAAAACUCCUGAAGGAAGCCAGAGGAAAAGAACAUCUUGCCCACAGACAGAGGAUCAAAGGUGUUCUGCAGGUGUUCCUGUCCACAUGUGAGGCUUCCUCUCUAGAGUGCACAGGGGAAGGCCACUCCAGAUGAGGAAAGCAGGGAUCAGUGAGGCCAAGCUCAGAUUUACACAGCCAGUAGAUGAUAGGGCCAAGAUACUAUUCCAGAAUUGACGGUGUAUGUUAACCCCAGUUAUGACCUUAGUGGGCCAAUGUGUCCAGAGUAUUCUCAGCCCAACAUUCGAGCAAUCAAUCAACAUGCAUUACUUGAAGGAACUUCUCCAAAGAGGCCUGAGACCCAGCCCCUGCCUGCCAGGACAGCACUCCAACUGCGGAGACGAAGACAGGAAUAACACAAGAGCAGCGUGCAAAUACGGGAGCUGCCUCGAGGAAGCAUGCCAGCAAUUGUGCACGUUCCUGCCAUGGCACACACAGUGGUGACGCUCCCACGUGUGAUGCACUCCCCGGGGUAUUUCUGGGGCUGCAGCUAGCAUUCUUCUUUUGUCCAUGUGAGACAGUGUGUUAGAAUGUGAGCAACUGAGAGAAUGUUAUAAAGGUAUUAUCCAGAUCUUCUCUAAUGUUAAAUCACAACAAAUCAAUAAGAAUCUUUGGUAUUUGCCAACUCUCCCUCAUGGCAGUUGAU